Molecule: ribosomal RNA, 301 nt
Filed under: uncultured bacterium
Lineage: Bacteria
Description: partial 16S ribosomal RNA
Rfam family: Bacterial small subunit ribosomal RNA
Source: RNAcentral
CAGCAGCCGCGGGAAUACAGAGGGUGCAAGCGUUAAUCGGAUUUACUGGGCGUAAAGCGUGCGUAGGCGGCUUCUUAAGUCGGAUGUGAAAUCCCUGAGCUUAACUUAGGAAUUGCAUUCGAUACUGGGAAGCUAGAGUAUGGGAGAGGAUGGUAGAAUUCCAGGUGUAGCGGUGAAAUGCGUAGAGAUCUGGAGGAAUACCGAUGGCGAAGGCAGCCAUCUGGCCUAAUACUGACGCUGAGGUACGAAAGCAUGGGGAGCAAACAGGAUUAGAUACCCGCGUAGUCCCUGUCUCUUAUAC